This 294-nucleotide ribosomal RNA is filed under the name uncultured Acidobacteriaceae bacterium. RNAcentral describes it as "partial 16S ribosomal RNA". It matches the Rfam family "Bacterial small subunit ribosomal RNA", at positions 149 to 429 of the family's 1533-position model. The record is from RNAcentral. Lineage: Bacteria; Pseudomonadati; Acidobacteriota; Terriglobia; Terriglobales; Acidobacteriaceae.
UCUCAGAAAGGGACGCUAAUACCGCAUUGACAUCCUGCCUUUGAACAGGUGGAGAUCAAAGCCGGGGUCGCAAGACCUGGCGCUUGAAGAGGGGCCCACGCCCGAUUAGCUAGUUGGUGAGGUAACGGCCUACCAAGGCGACGAUCGGUAGCCGGCCUUAGAGGGCGGACGGCCACACUGGGACUGAGACACGGCCCAGACUCCUACGGGAGGCACCAGUGGGGAAUUGUUCGCAAUGGGCGCAGGCCUGACGACUCAACGCCGCGUGGAGGAUGAAGAUCUUCGGGUCGUAAA